This 75-nucleotide transfer RNA is filed under the name Candidatus Peregrinibacteria bacterium CG10_big_fil_rev_8_21_14_0_10_49_10. RNAcentral describes it as "tRNA-Arg". It matches the Rfam family "tRNA". From Rfam's summary of the family: Transfer RNA (tRNA) molecules are approximately 80 nucleotides in length. Their secondary structure includes four short double-helical elements and three loops (D, anti-codon, and T loops). Further hydrogen bonds mediate the characteristic L-shaped molecular structure. tRNAs have two regions of fundamental functional importance: the anti-codon, which is responsible for specific mRNA codon recognition, and the 3' end, to which the tRNAs corresponding amino acid is attached (by aminoacyl-tRNA synthetases). tRNAs cope with the degeneracy of the genetic code in two manners: having more than one tRNA (with a specific anti-codon) for a particular amino acid; and 'wobble' base-pairing, i.e. permitting non-standard base-pairing at the 3rd anti-codon position. RNAcentral also lists the same sequence under 1 other name. Lineage: Bacteria; Candidatus Peregrinibacteriota. The record is from RNAcentral.
GUCCCCGUAGUUCAAUGGAUAGAACGGCCCUCUCCUAAGGGGCAAAUGCAGGUUCGAUUCCCGCCGGGGAUACCA